CGGGGCCUUAGCGGACGGAGGGGAGCGCGGGGGUCACCGGGCCGGGCCGGCAGCCCUAGAGCUCGGCCUGGCGGGGACCCUGGGCCAGCCCCGCGCCUCCGUGGCCCGGGCGUCUCGUGCGUGUCCGCGAACUCGCGUGCGCGCGUCACCUCGGACCGCAGCAUGGCUCGGAGGGCGGCCCUACUCGCGCCGCCCUAGUGCUGCGAAGGGCCUCGGAGCCCAAACCCGGAACCGCCAUCUGGGACUGGGAAGACGACAUGGCCAGAAGCCGACUGGACAGCCGGCACCACCCCAUGAUUCAAGGAUGGCCAUAGCCCAGUGCAGGAGCAGAUUUGCUUCCAGUUUGCCCUUCCUCCUAGGUGGAGUCUCGCUCUGUCACCCAGGCUGGAGUGCAAUGGCACGGUCUCAGCUCACUGCAACCUCUGCCUCCCAGAUUCAAGCAAUUCUGCCUCAACCUCCUGAGUAGCUGGGACUACAGGCACGUGUCACCACGCCCAGCUAUUUUUUUUUUUUUUUUUUUUUUUUUGAGACAGAGUCUCCCUCUGUCGCCCAGGCUGGAGUGCAAUGGCGCAAUCUCAGCUCACUGCAAGCUCCGCCUCCCCGGUUCCCGCCAUUCUCUUGCCUCAGCCUCCCGAGUAGCUGGCACUACAGGCGCCUGCCACCCAUGACCGGGUAAUUUUUUUUGUAUUUUUUAGUAGAGACGGGGUUUCACUGUGUUAGCCAGGAUGGUCUCGAUCUCCUGACCUCAUGAUCCGCCCGCCUCGGCCUCCCAAAGUGCUGGGAUUACAGGCGUGAGCCACCAUGCCCGGCCUUAAUAACUUUUUAAAGGAUGUCAAGUUAAUGGAAUGUAUUCUGCUUUAGAAAAUAAAACUCUUAGGUUUUCAAAACUUAGCAGCCCCAGCAUUACCAAGGGCCUGCCUACCGUUUACAGUAUGUGAAUCCUACUUCCUUUUCAUGGUUGUAAGACUGGGAUUUUCUGGGAGCCGACCUGCAGGAGUCCACAGGCCACCCGUUAGGACUGUGCACGCUCCUCCACAAACAUGCCUGUGGGGGGAUCCUUGGCUCUCUCUGCAGGGGUGCGUUGGGUGUGCACCAGCUGGGAAGGAAGGAUCUGUCGGAACUGCAAUCAAAGCCACGGCAGGCCUCCCAGGGUCUUACUGGUGGUGAAAACAACCAGCUUCCUCGUCCCUCCCUCAAGCAUGGCAACCACCGCCCUGAGACUCAAAGAUACCUGGAGGAGUGUGAUCGGGCUGACCUGUUGCUCUUAUCUGGAAUUCUUUGAGGGUGAUGGGAGAUCACUUCUUUUUUUUUUUUUUUUUUUUUUUUGAGACAGGAUCUUGUUUUGUCAACCAGGCUGGAGUGCAGGUUCAGGUGAUUCUUCCGCCUCAGCCUCCCCAAGUAGGCUGAGUAGCUGAGAAAACAGAUGCGCACCACCAUGCCUGGUUAAUUUUUGGAUGUUUUGCAGCCAUGUGGUUUCACCAUGUUGUCCAGUCUGGUCUUGAACUCCUGAGCUCAAGGGAUCCUCCCACCUCGGCCUCCCAAAGCAUUGAGAUUACAGGUAUGAGCCACUGUACCCGGCUACCCAGGAGAUUACUAUUUUUUGGCAUAAAACCAAACAAAACUAUUCAUUAGUUUAUCCACUCAACAUUGAUUUAUUAUUCCUGACUGCAGCCAACAACAUUGUGAAUACUUUCCCUGCCUCAAGCUCUGUUCUAGGUCCUAGAACAUUCAUGACAAUUUGUUUCUCUGCCCUCUGGCAGGUGAGAAAACUUUGUAAGAAGUUUCAAUAGCAAAAAGUAUGAGAAGAUGUACAAUAGAUCUGGGACUAUUUGUAACAAACCCGGUGGAAGAUGUAGGAGCAGAGGUGGAAGGCCUUAAAGAGGGUCCUGCGCAUGCCGGGCGGGCCUCCAACAGAGAAAACACACAACCUGGCCAGGCACAGUGGCUCACGCCUGUAAUCCCAGCACUUUGGGAGGCCAGUGCGGGUGGAUCACCUGAGGUCAGGAGUUCGAGAUCAGCCUGGCCAAUGUAGUGAAACCCCAGUCUCUACCAAAAAUACAAAAAUUAGCCGGGCUUGGCACAGGCUUGCAAUCCCAGCUGAGGCAGGAGAAUCGCUUGAACCUGGGAGGUGGAGGUUGCAAUGAGCCAAGAUCAUGCUUUUGCACUCCAGCCUGGACGACAGAGUGAGACUCUGUCUCAAAACAAAAUAAAUAAAAUAGACACGCAAUCCAUACCACAGCCACCAGGGUGAUUGUCCAGGUUGUAUUUCUGCUGACAUCGACCCUUCAUGCCUUCCUCUUGUUGACCCUUCCAGCUACACCUAGCUCGGUCCUCUUCGGAGCCACGCCAACACCCAGGUUCCUCUGCAGUGCAUCCCCAUGGGGAUUUACCCGGCCCCCACAUGCCAGACCAUCGUUGGUGGACCUCGUCACCAGCAUGAAGUGGGCUCUUGGAGUUGUCGACUGACUAGUUCACAAUUAGUGACUCAUAGCAUCUCACUCAUUUCCUUUUCAUCAGUAGGAGGCAGCAGUCUGCACUUUUGCAUCACAUUUCAAAGACAUCUGUGUGUUUGUUCUCGUGCAGAACACUUUGACUAUUGUAACCUCUAGGUCCAUGAAUGACCCUCAUCUUCAGUAAAAGUGGAUUCACGCUGGCAAAGUCUGCUUUGUUUUAUUGUGACACAUGGAACAUUAUGGAUUUUGGUGAAUAAAAACUAACUUAAAUUGAAGUCAUUCUUGUAAAAUGAAAAUACAUUUUUCUGCUGUUCUUAACUUUAUAAUAUAGAUACAUACUAUGUCUUAUGAAAUAGUAAAUGGAAAACACGAUUCAAAAAGCGCUAUUUUGGUAAAUAACUUGCAUAAAGGGCAUAUGGACAACACAAGUCCACAACACAAUAGACAACAGACAACACAACCUGUUACACAGGCACUCAAGUUCGUCUGCAG
RNAcentral lists this long non-coding RNA (2945 nucleotides) under Homo sapiens (human). RNAcentral's name for it is "HSALNT0395295". Lineage: Eukaryota; Metazoa; Chordata; Mammalia; Primates; Hominidae. The record is from RNAcentral.